UACGUAGGGUGCAAGCGUUAAUCGGAAUUACUGGGCGUAAAGCGUGCGCAGGCGGUUUUGUAAGACAGUGGUGAAAUCCCCGGGCUCAACCUGGGAACUGCCAUUGUGACUGCAAGGCUGGAGUGCGGCAGAGGGGGAUGGAAUUCCGCGUGUAGCAGUGAAAUGCGUAGAUAUGCGGAGGAACACCGAUGGCGAAGGCAAUCCCCCUGGGCCUGUACUGACGCUCAUGCACGAAAGCGUGGGGAGCAAACAGG
RNAcentral lists this ribosomal RNA (254 nucleotides) under uncultured Comamonas sp. RNAcentral describes it as "partial 16S ribosomal RNA". It matches the Rfam family "Bacterial small subunit ribosomal RNA", at positions 524 to 776 of the family's 1533-position model. Lineage: Bacteria; Pseudomonadati; Pseudomonadota; Betaproteobacteria; Burkholderiales; Comamonadaceae. The record is from RNAcentral.